UGGGGGAUCUUGCGCUAAUGCGCGAAAGCGUGACGCAGCGACGCCGCGUGGGGGAUGAAGGCCCUCGGGUUGUAAACCCCUUUCGGCAGGGACGAAGCGAAAGUGACGGUACCUGCAGAAGAAGUCCCGGCUAACUACGUGCCAGCAGCCGCGGUAACACGUAGGGGACGAGCGUUGUCCGGAUUCAUUGGGCGUAAAAGCGCGCGUAGGCGGCUCGGAAAGUCGGUCGUGAAAGGCUGGGGCUCAACCCCAGGACUGCGUCCGAUACUUCCGGGCUGGAGGUAGGUAGGGGAGAUCGGAAUUCCUGGUGUAGCGGUGAAUGCGCAGAUAUCAGGAGGAACACCGGUGGCGAAGGCGGAUCUCUGGGCCUUACCUGACGCUGAGGCGCGAAAGCUAGGGGAGCGAACGAGGAUUAGAUACCCUGGUAGUCCUAGCCGCAAACGUUGGGUGCUAGGGUGUGGGCGGACAUCGACCCCGUCCGUGCCGAAGCU
RNAcentral lists this ribosomal RNA (491 nucleotides) under uncultured Actinomycetes bacterium. RNAcentral's name for it is "bacterial SSU rRNA". It matches the Rfam family "Bacterial small subunit ribosomal RNA", at positions 355 to 853 of the family's 1533-position model. The record is from RNAcentral. Lineage: Bacteria; Bacillati; Actinomycetota; Actinomycetes.